Molecule: ribosomal RNA, 1168 nt
Filed under: Platychrysis sp. MBIC10528
Lineage: Eukaryota; Haptophyta; Prymnesiales; Prymnesiaceae
Description: bacterial SSU rRNA
Rfam family: Bacterial small subunit ribosomal RNA
Source: RNAcentral
AGUUGGUAAGGUAAUGGCUUACCAAGGCCACGAUCAGUAGCUGGUUUGAGAGGACGAUCAGCCACACUGGGACUGAGACACGGCCCAGACUCCUCCGGGAGGCAGCAGUGAGGAAUUUUCCGCAAUGGGCGAAAGCCUGACGGAGCAAUACCGCGUGAGGGAUGAAGGAUUUUGGUCUGUAAACCUCUUUUCUCAAGAAAGAAGUUCUGACGGUACUUGAGGAAUAAGCAUCGGCUAACUCCGUGCCAGCAGCCGCGGUAAUACGGGGGAUGCAAGCGUUAUCCGGAAUCAUUGGGCGUAAAGCGCCUGUAGGUGGUUUAAUAAGUCCGUUGUUAAAGACUAGGGCUCAACCCUAGAAGAGCAAUGGAAACUACUAGACUUGAGUAUGGCAGGGGUAGAGGGAACUUCUAGUGUAGCGGUGAAAUGCGUAGAUAUUAGAAAGAACACCAGUGGCGAAAGCGCUCUACUAGACCAUCACUGACACUCAGAGGCGAAAGCUAGGGUAGCAAAAGGGAUUAGAUACCCCUGUAGUCCUAGCCGUAAACGAUGGAUACUAAAUGUUGUAUAUUUCUUACAGUAUUGUAGCUAACGCGUUAAGUAUCCCGCCUGGGGAGUACGCUCGCAAGGGUGAAACUCAAAGGAAUUGACGGGGGCCCGCACAAGCGGUGGAGCAUGUGGUUUAAUUCGAUGCAACGCGAAGAACCUUACCAGGGCUUGACAUACUACGAAUCUUUUUGAAAGAAGAGAGUGCCUUCGGGAACGUAGAUACAGGUGGUGCAUGGCUGUCGUCAGCUCGUGUCGUGAGAUGUUGGGUUAAGUCCCGCAACGAGCGCAACCCUUAUUUUUAGUUACCAAUUUAUUGGGUUCUCUAGAAAGACUGCCGGUGACAAACCGGAGGAAGGUGAGGAUGACGUCAAGUCAGCAUGCCCCUUAUGUCCUGGGCCACACACGUGCUACAAUGGUUAGAACAAAGAGUUGCAAGUUUGCGAAAACAAGCUAAUCUCGUAAAUCUAAUCUAAGUUCAGAUUGUAGGCUGCAACUCGCCUACAUGAAGUUGGAAUCGCUAGUAAUCGCUGGUCAGCCAUACAGCGGUGAAUCCGUUCCCGGGCCUUGUACACACCGCCCGUCACACCAUGGGAGCUGGUCAUGCCCGAAACCGUUAGCUUAA